CACGUAGGGGGCGAGCGUUGUCCGGAUUUAUUGGGCGUAAAGAGCUCGUAGGCGGCUCAGUAAGUCGGGUGUGAAAACUCCAGGCUCAACCUGGAGACGCCACCUGAUACUGCUGUGGCUAGAGUCCGGUAGGGGAGCAUGGAAUUCCUGGUGUAGCGGUGAAAUGCGCAGAUAUCAGGAGGAACACCAGUGGCGAAGGCAGCUCGCUGGGACGGUACUGACGCUGAGGCGCGAAAGCGUGGGGAGCAAACAGG
Molecule: ribosomal RNA, 254 nt
Filed under: uncultured bacterium
Lineage: Bacteria
Description: partial 16S ribosomal RNA
Rfam family: Bacterial small subunit ribosomal RNA
Source: RNAcentral